UACGUAGGGGGCUAGCGUUGUCCGGAUUUAUUGGGCGUAAAGAGCGCGUAGGCGGCCAGGUAAGUCCGACGUGAAAUCUGGAGGCUCAACCUCCAGCGGUCGUUGGAAACUACUUGGCUAGAGUCCGGAAGAGGAGAGUGGAAUUCCUGGUGUAGCGGUGAAAUGCGCAGAUAUCAGGAAGAACACCGAUGGCGAAGGCAGCUCUCUGGGACGGUACUGACGCUGAGGCGCGAAAGCGUGGGGAGCGAACAGG
RNAcentral lists this ribosomal RNA (253 nucleotides) under uncultured Gaiellales bacterium. Its description in RNAcentral is "partial 16S ribosomal RNA". It matches the Rfam family "Bacterial small subunit ribosomal RNA", at positions 524 to 776 of the family's 1533-position model. The record is from RNAcentral. Lineage: Bacteria; Bacillati; Actinomycetota; Thermoleophilia; Gaiellales.